This 424-nucleotide ribosomal RNA is filed under the name uncultured bacterium. RNAcentral's name for it is "bacterial SSU rRNA". It matches the Rfam family "Bacterial small subunit ribosomal RNA", at positions 355 to 777 of the family's 1533-position model. The record is from RNAcentral.
UGAGGAAUAUUGGUCAAUGGGCGGGAGCCUGAACCAGCCAAGCCGCGUGAGGGAAGAAGGCCCUAUGGGUCGUAAACCUCUUUUGUCAGGGAACAAAAGCCGAUAUGUAUAUUGGUGUGAGUGUACCUGAAGAAAAAGCAUCGGCUAACUCCGUGCCAGCAGCCGCGGUAAUACGGAGGAUGCGAGCGUUAUCCGGAUUUAUUGGGUUUAAAGGGUGCGUAGGCGGCGGUGCAAGUCAGCGGUAAAAGCCCGGGGCUCAACCCCGGCGAGCCGUUGAAACUGCAGUGCUAGAGAAGGCGAGAGGUACGCGGAAUGCGCAGUGUAGCGGUGAAAUGCUUAGAUAUUGCGCAGAACUCCGAUUGCGAAGGCAGCGUACUGGCGCCUGACUGACGCUGAGGCACGAAAGCGUGGGGAUCGAACAGGA